AUUGAACGCUGGCGGCAGGCCUAACCCAUGCAAGUCGAACGAGUGGCGGACGGGUGAGUAAUGUCUGGGAAACUGCCUGAUGGAGGGGGAUAACUACUGGAAACGGUAGCUAAUACCGCAUACCAUCAGAUGUGCCCAGAUGGGAUUAGCUAGGUGGUGGGGGAACGGCUGACCACGGCGACGAUCCCUAGCUGGUGUGAGAGGAUGACCAGAAAAACCGUAACUGAGACACGGUCCAGCCUCCUACGGGAGGCAGCAGUGGGGAAUAUUGAACAGUGGGCGAAAGCCUGAUGCAGCCAGGCCGCGUGUAUGAAGAAGGCCUUCGGGUUGUAAAGUACUUGCAGCGGGGAUGCGUUACCCGCAGAAGAAGCACCGGCUAACUCCGUGCCAGCAGCCGCGGUAAUAC
RNAcentral lists this ribosomal RNA (406 nucleotides) under uncultured bacterium. RNAcentral's name for it is "partial 16S ribosomal RNA". It matches the Rfam family "Bacterial small subunit ribosomal RNA", at positions 29 to 526 of the family's 1533-position model. The record is from RNAcentral.